RNAcentral lists this ribosomal RNA (440 nucleotides) under uncultured bacterium. RNAcentral describes it as "bacterial SSU rRNA". It matches the Rfam family "Bacterial small subunit ribosomal RNA", at positions 338 to 770 of the family's 1533-position model. The record is from RNAcentral.
CCUACGGGAGGCUGCAGUGGGGAAUAUUGGACAAUGGGGGCAACCCUGAUCCAGCCAUGCCGCGUGUGUGAAGAAGGCCUUCGGGUUGUAAAGCACUUUAAGUAGGGAGGAAGGCUCUGUGGCUAAUAUCCGCGGGGAUUGACGUUACCUACAGAAUAAGCACCGGCUAACUCCGUGCCAGCAGCCGCGGUAAUACGGAGGGUGCAAGCGUUAAUCGGAAUUACUGGGCGUAAAGCGCGCGUAGGCGGCUGUCUAAGUCGGGUGUGAAAGCCCCGGGCUCAACCUGGGAACUGCAUCCGAUACUGGUCAGCUAGAGUAUGGGAGAGGGAGGUAGAAUUCCACGUGUAGCGGUGAAAUGCGUAGAUAUGUGGAGGAAUACCGGUGGCGAAGGCGGCCUCCUGGCCCAAUACUGACGCUGAGGUGCGAAAGCGUGGGGAUCA